GCAGGCUCGGCGUUGGCCUCCGCGGCCCGUGCGAGUGCGCCCUUCUCGGGUCCCCUAGGUCGCGGGGCAGCCGGGGCGGAAGGGGCUUGUUCAUUAUUUUGAGAGUUUGUUGUGAACGUCAUAACCUUUCGUCCUUAAAUAUUGCCGAUACUUGACCUACGCAAGAGACAAUGUCAUGUGAUUCAGCCUAAUAUCUCAGUUGCUUGCUGGGUGCAGUGGCUCAUGCCUGUAAUCCCAGCACUUUGGGAGGCUGAGGCAGGUGGAUCACUCAAGGUCAGGAGUUCAAGAGCAGACUGGCCAAUUGCGCCACUGCACUGCAGCCUGGGUGACAGAGGGAGACUCCUUCAAAAAAAAAAAGAAAAAUCUAGGUUGCUCAAUUAAAAAGAAAAUUAAAUCCAAAAUCCAAAAUGGAAAAGAACCUUAAAUAUAUCUAACGUUUUCUUUUUGAGUGGAAUAUCUAAUUCAUAAUUUCAUUAUUUAUUUAAAUUAUCAGUUUUGUUCUGAACACUCUUUAGCUGCAUCUUGUCAACUCUAAUGUCAUGUUUUCAUUUUUUUCUAGAAAUUCUCAUUAGCAAUUGAUAUUUCCCUUUGAGACAAGCUAUGUUUAAUAGGAAAAUUUUAAAUUUCAAAAUGGGGCUUUCUUAUGUUUUGAUUAUAAAUUUCUGGUUUUAUCAUAUUAUGGUGAAUAUUUAGAUCAUUUUUAUGUGAUUUACUGGGGCAUACAUGUCUGUAUUGUAAAUUAGAGUCAAUUUUCUAAGUGUUUUUGUAUUUUUUUGUCUAAUUAAGAGAAAUGUACUAUAGUCUGCUAUUAUUAGUGUAUUUCAAUUUCUCUUUGAAUCUCUUAUAAUUCCUACUGUAUGAAAGUAGCUGCUGUGUUAUUCACUGCAUACCUUUUCAUAAAUCUUUUAUUUUCACUGGGAAUUGUAGCCUUUAGGAUUAUAAGAUGUUCUUUGUCUCAAUAA
Molecule: long non-coding RNA, 962 nt
Filed under: Homo sapiens (human)
Lineage: Eukaryota; Metazoa; Chordata; Mammalia; Primates; Hominidae
Description: long intergenic non-protein coding RNA 882
Source: RNAcentral